Long non-coding RNA from Helianthus annuus (common sunflower), 2065 nucleotides. RefSeq lists it as uncharacterized. NCBI's taxonomy places the organism in Eukaryota, Viridiplantae, Streptophyta, Magnoliopsida, Asterales, Asteraceae. The record is from RefSeq and is a predicted model, not a curated record. The transcript has 7 exons.
CUUGAAUUAACCCGACACGGGAUCCGAAUAGUGUAUUCGGGUCACAUUGUUCCUUCCAUAUUUAAGGCUUCAAACCGUUGAUUUUUUCCAUUUAUUCUUCUCCUCUCAUCCUAGGGUUUCUCUCUUCUAUCAUAUGUUUCUCUCUUCUCCUUCUGCAUCACUCAAUCUGCUCUUGGAGACAUCUUCAAUAUCAAUCUCUUAUUCUUCUGCAAGCUUCCUCUCUCAUUCUCAAACGUCUGAUAAGGUAAAUCAAAUAUGUUCUUUGUAGAUCCAACAUAAAUUUUGCAAUAUAUAUUGAUGAUUCUUCAUGCUUGAAUACUUAUUUUGUGUUUUGAUUUCUCAGUUGUUCCAUAUUAUUACUCAAUCUAGAUCUUCCCAUGUUAUUCAUCUUCAUUUUAUAUCAAUCAGUUAUAGAUCCAAAUGAAUCAAGUUUUUGAUAUUGAAGGAAGAAAUUUUUAGGGUUUCACAUCUCAUUCUCAAUCGGCUAACAUCAAGGUAAUCUUAGGGUUUCACAUCUCAUUCUCAUCAGGUACGAUCCAGAUUUGUUUGUUCUUUAACAUAUAUUGUUGAUUUUUUGUUUAAAAUUUCCCCAUUGACUGAUUGUUCUAUUCUCUAAUUUCAUCAUUAAUCCCUUUUUAGUUGGUGUUGUUGGAGUGGUUUAUACGUUAUGAAUUGUGUGUCUGAAUCUAAAAGAGAAAAUCCUAAUUUCGUUUUCUUAAUGUGUAGAUUCCUUUCAUUUUAUUUACUUUAAUCGAUGAUUUAAAUGCUUAUUUAACCUUACUUGAAUGGCCGAUCAUCUUUUUUUUUCCAUUUUAUUUGGUGUAGUUGAUGACAUUGAAGGCUUAUGUAACCCUAAUUGAUUUGCCGAUUUCUAAACAAUUUCUUUUGUCUAAUUUUUACAGGGAAGCAGGUUAUGUGCUUGAAGGUAUGCCUCACUUAACUGAUCCACUCAGGCAAGCUUUUUAUUGAGCUGAAAACUAAGAGCUAUGUAUGGGAAGAUGGAUGAUAUUAUCGACGUGAUGAAUAAGUAAAUGGUUGAUCUGGUUAGGAACUGUAACCUAUAUAUGUGUUUUGAUGAAGAACACGGGCACAAAUUUAGAAAUAUGUAAUGUCAAUUCAACAAACGCCGUCGCCAAAAUUGAUGCAUCUAAAGUCGUUGCAAAGGUAUAAGCGGAAGAGUAAUUGCUUCUAUAAGUUUGUGUCUUAUCAAGUUAUAGAUUGAAUGUGUUUUUCUUUGAUAUCUUCUUCACUGCAAGUUCUCGGCUCUCUUUGUUCGCGGUCUCCUCCAAUCAGUUGCAAAGUGUUCGUGGAAAGCAAUGGUCUAGAAUAAAAGCUUACGAAAGCAAGCCCAUGUCAAGUCAUUUUCUACUCUGGAGAGAAAAGUGUAGGUGCGAUGCAAACAUCGGUUAGAGCUUGAUGAGAAGGAUAAGAAAAGCACUUGAUAAGCAGCUUGAAUUUCAUCUAGGGCAAACGGAAAGUGUUCAUGAACCGGAAGGAAAGGAUAUAAGUUUUCAUGUUCUUGAGUUGCAAAGAAACAGAUAUGACCCAUUACCAUGUCCGAUUUGCCAGAACCAUGGUGUGCGGUGUGCCAAUGGAGCUCCUCGAGUCACUUAAAGCUGCAACUCACAAGUAUUUUGCUCAAACGGGUGAAAAAAGGUUAUGUAUCUCAAAGGGAGAGCUUAAGUUGGUGGAUAUCAUUGAAAGCCAUAUGUAUAUGUAUGUUCUUCUGAAUCUGUUGGCAAUCAAUGAAGAGAAACUAAGCCACGCUUGGCCUGACCGAGUUAUGUGUGGUACUUCUAGACCUGUUUUAGAGCAUGUUGCACUCAAAGAUUCAACAAGGGAAAAGUUUUGAAGUAUAAAGAUGAGUUAUAGUGAAGACCGUUAUUUAAUUCUGACGUGGGAGUACUCGAACCACAAUACAUAUUUAUAAUGAUGAUGAAAAAGUGUUAAGCGUAAUUUAGUUAUUCAGUGCUUUUAGAAUAGUUGUAAUGUUUAUAUAUUUGACUUCAUAGGUGUUGGGUUUGGUUGUGGUAUCUUUUUUUUAUAAUUCUUUAUUUUUAUACAC